GUAACUUGAGCAAAGGGGUGUUCCAGUGGGGUGAAGGGAAUAUGGGGUGAAGACAGGUGUGUGGUAAGGAAGAGGCGAGGUACCGUAAUUCCUUAUAUUCUUUUGCCCUAGGCUGUUACUGCAACUCCUUUGAGUCUAAUUUCCUCUGUGCGGCUUGCGACCGGCGCUGGGAGGAGCACGAAACUUUCUUUGAGACUGAGGAGACCAAGCGAAGAGGAAAAAGACCUUAUGGGACAAACACUGCCAAGAACCGGCACAGGCCCUUCUGAGCUUGGCCACGAUCAACAAUAAAGUGGAAGCCAAUAGAAUCUGACCUGGCUCUAUAUGGAACAGGUAGCAUCAAGACUCAGUUUCCAGUCAGCUCCAACUCCAGGCAAGAGAUAGCACCGAGCAGAAUGAAGGCUGACGCCAGCCAUCUUCCCCUAUCUGGGCCACAUUCAAGCUCCUGGCCUUGACACCAGGAGACUGGCUUCAAGAGAGCCAAAAGCAGAGAGAAUAGACUAGGCAGGGGCUUGUUGUGUGGCUGGGUUCCAUAAGGCAAAGCCAUUGAACUUAGUAGGUCUUUGGAGACGCUGCCAUGGUGGAAGGAAACACCAAAUACCCACGAAUUUGAAGGAGUCUCUUCAAGGAGGUUGGGUAAGAAGUAGAGGAAAGAAAUCCGACAACACCCUGAGUGGGCUGUAGAUCAAGGUAGCGACUUUUUAAGAAGGAGCAGGGGAGGAGGCCCCUAUGCAAAAGGAUCCUGAAGGCUGAAGA
RNAcentral lists this long non-coding RNA (756 nucleotides) under Rattus norvegicus (Norway rat). RNAcentral's name for it is "long non-coding RNA NONRATT023200". Lineage: Eukaryota; Metazoa; Chordata; Mammalia; Rodentia; Muridae. The record is from RNAcentral.